GAUGAAGAACGUAGCGAAAUGCGAUACUUGGUGUGAAUUGCAGAAUCCCGCGAAUCAUCGAGUUUUUGAACGCAAGUUGCGCCCGAAGCCAUUCGGCCGAGGGCACGUCUGCCUGGGUGUCACGCAUCGUUGCCCCCCCAAACUCCGGUUCGGGCGGGGCGGAAGUUGGCCUCCCGUGCGUGCCUGCGCGCGCGGUUAGCCCAAAAGCGAGUCCACGGCGACGAGCGCCACGACAAUCGGUGGUUUUUUUACCCUCGUUCCUCGUCGUGCGUGUCCCGUCGCCCGAACGCGCUCUUGUGACCCUCACGCGUCGCCUCGGCGGCGCUCCCAACGCGACCCCAGGUCAGGCGGGACUACCCGCUGAGUUUAAGCAUAUCAAUAAGCGGAGGA
Molecule: unclassified non-coding RNA, 390 nt
Filed under: soil metagenome
Description: partial contains 5.8S ribosomal RNA, internal transcribed spacer 2, and large subunit ribosomal RNA
Rfam family: 5.8S ribosomal RNA (bases 1-122)
Source: RNAcentral